Molecule: ribosomal RNA, 474 nt
Filed under: uncultured Bacillota bacterium
Lineage: Bacteria; Bacillati; Bacillota
Description: bacterial SSU rRNA
Rfam family: Bacterial small subunit ribosomal RNA
Source: RNAcentral
UAGGGAAUCUUCCACAAUGGGCGCAAGCCUGAUGGAGCAACGCCGCGUGAGUGAUGAAGGCCUUCGGGUUGUAAAACUCUGUCUUCUGUGACGAACAAGCCUGUGAGUGGAAAGCUCAGGCCCUGACGGUAACAGAGGAGGAAGCCACGGCUAACUACGUGCCAGCAGCCGCGGUAAUACGUAGGUGGCAAGCGUUGUCCGGAAUCACUGGGCGUAAAGCGCGCGCAGGCGGCGAUCUACGUCUGGGGUGAAUGCCCGGAGCUCAACUCCGGGACUGCCUUGGAUACGGGAUCGCUUGAGGAUUGGAGAGGCAAGGGGAAUUCCACGUGUAGCGGUGAAAUGCGUAGAUAUGUGGAGGAACACCUGUGGCGAAGGCGCCUUGCUGGCCAAUUUCUGACGCUGAGGCGCGAAAGCGUGGGGAGCAAACAGGAUUAGAUACCCUGGUAGUCCACGCCGUAAACGAUGAGUGCUAGG